CUUCGUGUAUGAUCGUCUGUAUAUUUCAUGUAAUAGAACCCCUGAAUUUGCAGAAAGUAAAGAAAAUGUCGGAUUUAGUUUUGCGCCCCGUGUAUGAUUGUAGGCGCAGGUAAUUUCAUAAUGUCAUCAGACUGAGGUAAACAAAAAUGUCGGAUUCCACGACAAGGAUUAAAUAAUUAUUCUAAUGACGGUAAGAAUUGUUUUUUUUUUUUUCAAUGUAUCAUUCAAAUUAAUCAUAUUUUACAGAAUUUUCAUCUAAUUGAAAAAUGCUUUUCUUCCGUUAUUUUAUUAGAUUAUUUAUUAAAACACAAUUUUAAUGAUAAAACAAUAUUUUAACAGUGGCGGAUCCAGGGCCGCAGAUAGUGUACGUCCCCUUAUCAUGUUUUUUUCACAGAUAUUUGUAGCCGAUAUGUAUUCCUUUUUGU
Molecule: long non-coding RNA, 425 nt
Filed under: Mytilus galloprovincialis (Mediterranean mussel)
Lineage: Eukaryota; Metazoa; Mollusca; Bivalvia; Mytilida; Mytilidae
Source: RNAcentral